GAUGAACGCUGGCGGCGUGCCUAAUACAUGCAAGUAGAACGCUGAAGGCGGAGCUUGCUCUUCUGGAUGAGUUGCGAACGGGUGAGUAACGCGUAGGUAACCUGCCUGGUAGCGGGGGAUAACUAUUGGAAACGAUAGCUAAUACCGCAUGACAACAGUUAUUGCAUGAUAACUGUUUAAAAGGGGCAACUGCUCCACUACCAGAUGGACCUGCGUUGUAUUAGCUAGUUGGUGAGGUAACGGCUCACCAAGGCGACGAUACAUAGCCGACCUGAGAGGGUGAUCGGCCACACUGGGACUGAGACACGGCCCAGACUCCUACGGGAGGCAGCAGUAGGGAAUCUUCGGCAAUGGACGGAAGUCUGACCGAGCAACGCCGCGUGAGUGAAGAAGGUUUUCGGAUCGUAAAGCUCUGUUGUAAGAGAAGAACGAGUGUGAGAGUGGAAAGUUCACACUGUGACGGUAUCUUACCAGAAAGGGACGGCUAACUACGU
RNAcentral lists this ribosomal RNA (494 nucleotides) under uncultured bacterium. RNAcentral describes it as "partial 16S ribosomal RNA". It matches the Rfam family "Bacterial small subunit ribosomal RNA", at positions 28 to 506 of the family's 1533-position model. The record is from RNAcentral.